CCGACCUUAGCUCAGUUGGUAGAGCGGAGGACUGUAGUCUGCGCAGAUCAAUCCUUAGGUCGCUGGUUCGAAUCCGGCAGGUCGGA
RNAcentral lists this transfer RNA (86 nucleotides) under Oryza barthii. RNAcentral describes it as "tRNA tRNA-Tyr". It matches the Rfam family "tRNA". From Rfam's summary of the family: Transfer RNA (tRNA) molecules are approximately 80 nucleotides in length. Lineage: Eukaryota; Viridiplantae; Streptophyta; Magnoliopsida; Poales; Poaceae. The record is from Rfam by way of RNAcentral.